CAAGUGGCGACGAGGGUGGGAGUCCGGUGCUGCUCCAGUAACAGAAGGAAAUAGAAGUCAAGGCUGAGGAAAUCUAGGACGUCUUUCCUGGAGCAGGAAUCAGCAUGAAGUUUACCUGUAGCUUUAUAUGGAUCCAUACUUAUGGUUGCAAAGGAAGACUUGCCAAGGAGGAAUAGCAGGAGCAGCUGAGCGAUGGCUCUUCAGAGGACUUGGAGGUUUUGGACACCGACAGCUCCGAAGGACCGAGUGGUUUGGGCCCAGUCUGUUUUUGCCCAGACACAAAACCAGAUGCUCCACAGAAUGCCGAAACCGCGGGGGAUGCUUAUUCUAUAGGCCUGUACUAUCUAAAGUUGAGGGAGAAAUUCGGUAUUAAGCCGGUGCGAGUUCAUAACCGUAAAACAGUGAUGCGUGCAAUUGUGCGAGCAGCUGUGCACGGAAUCAUCAAGCACUGCCUAAGAGAAAUACAAAAUGAGGAUUGUCCUGGGUGCGCCAUAGAUGCCACCGGUCACAGGUAUCAUGCCUGUGUGUACUGGUCUUUAGAUGAUGUGAAUUGUAAAAUUAAAGAAAUUAGCGGUAGUUUGUGUAUGGAGAGUGUGUUAAAUAUCAUCAUCACGCUGGGAUAUGCACUGCAGUGCCUCUGUUUAACCCAGGAACAUUUAACCCAGCUCUAGGGGCAGAAUUGGUGGACAAAGUGACAAAGGCCGAGAACCCAAAUAGUGUUUUAGAUGAAAUCAUCAAACCGACAGAUAAAUGUUUAAUGCAAAAUGUUGAACAUCUUCUUCGUUCAGCAAAUUACAAAAUCUUGCUAAGAAAAAACACUAA
This is a long non-coding RNA of Mauremys reevesii (Reeves's turtle), 822 nucleotides long. RefSeq lists it as uncharacterized. The record is from RefSeq and is a predicted model, not a curated record. Lineage: Eukaryota; Metazoa; Chordata; Testudines; Geoemydidae. The transcript is spliced from 3 exons.